This is a long non-coding RNA of Linepithema humile (Argentine ant), 793 nucleotides long. RefSeq lists it as uncharacterized. Lineage: Eukaryota; Metazoa; Arthropoda; Insecta; Hymenoptera; Formicidae. The record is from RefSeq and is a predicted model, not a curated record.
CGUGGUCCCGCGAGUCACGUGGCUGCCCCUCGCCCCCGCACGCAAGUUCACGCACACUCGCACACCAUCUGAAGUCCGUUUAAGUUACCAGCUUGCCAGCCAGCGCGCGAGCGCGGCCACAAAAUGGCGACGUCGCGGAGCAAUGACCAGUGUGAUGUAGCAGCGUCGUCGUGCGCUGUGUCUUGCUCUUUGCAGAGAAUAUGGAUGCCCAGAAAGCUGUGCCGCAACUUUUAUUACGUUUCCACGUACUCGUGGAAAUUUUAUAUCCGCGAAAAUAAUCUCUUUGCCCCACUGCGACAUUGAAGGGACGUUUUGAUUCUCUCGAAUCGGACGAACAGCGGGAGGAAAUAAAAAGACGGGACCAAAGACUCGCUGGAUAAAGGGAGCUAUCGUCCUUCCAGCUGACAGUAUGAUUGUCCGCCUUUUGCCAGACCACGCAAUUUUUAAUUGCGACGUACGUCAGCAUCACACACACACACACACACACACGGCACUCCGCUCUGAUUGACUCUGCUUGUGGAUACAGAAAAAGAUUGCCAUUGAAGUUCCUUGGACUCUUCUUGUUGUUCUCCAACAACGGCGAUGACAUCCGUCAACUACCGUUAGGAACCACAGAAAAACUGGAGCAUUGUGCGAAACGAAAUGCGGUUUCAUUGACUUCACGCCGUGGCCACUUCGAUUUCUUUACACUUCUCACCAAUCAUUGUUCAGAAGAUGAGGAAGAAAUAAGCGCUUUUCUAAAAAAAGGAACGUUGAACAUAUAGUGGAUUUAUCUUUCUACUUACAAUUGGAA